AUACUACUCCCCCGUCUCAAAAUUCUUGUCUUAGGUUUGUCUAAAAGUGGAUGUAUCAAAAUGCUAAAACGCGACUAGAUACAUUCAUAUCUAAACAAAUCUAAGACAAAAAAUUUGACACGAAGGGAGUACUUG
Non-coding RNA from Hordeum vulgare subsp. vulgare (domesticated barley), 135 nucleotides. NCBI's taxonomy places the organism in Eukaryota, Viridiplantae, Streptophyta, Magnoliopsida, Poales, Poaceae. The record is from Rfam.